CUUACAAUUGCGAUGGGGGGACGGAGAAGGCUAGGUGGGCCUGGCGACGGUUGUCCAGGUUCAAGUGCGUAGGCUGAAGAGUUAGGUAAAUCCGGCUCUUUUUAAGGCUGAGACACGACGUCGAGCACCUACGGGUGUGAAGUCAUUGAUGCCAUGCUUCCAGGAAAAGCCUCUAAGCUUCAGAUUGUAAGGAAUCGUACCCCAAAC
RNAcentral lists this ribosomal RNA (207 nucleotides) under Vibrio parahaemolyticus. Its description in RNAcentral is "partial 23S ribosomal RNA". It matches the Rfam family "Bacterial large subunit ribosomal RNA", at positions 1447 to 1654 of the family's 2925-position model. The record is from RNAcentral. Lineage: Bacteria; Pseudomonadati; Pseudomonadota; Gammaproteobacteria; Vibrionales; Vibrionaceae.